This 381-nucleotide ribosomal RNA is filed under the name Nostoc sp. CCMEE 6104. RNAcentral's name for it is "bacterial SSU rRNA". It matches the Rfam family "Bacterial small subunit ribosomal RNA", at positions 376 to 770 of the family's 1533-position model. Lineage: Bacteria; Bacillati; Cyanobacteriota; Cyanophyceae; Nostocales; Nostocaceae. The record is from RNAcentral.
CGAAAGCCUGACGGAGCAAUACCGCGUGAGGGAGGAAGGCUCUUGGGUCGUAAACCUCUUUUCUCAGGGAAGAACACAAUGACGGUACCUGAGGAAUAAGCAUCGGCUAACUCCGUGCCAGCAGCCGCGGUAAUACGGAGGAUGCAAGCGUUAUCCGGAAUGAUUGGGCGUAAAGCGUCCGCAGGUGGCGAUGUAAGUCUGCUGUUAAAGAGUCUAGCUCAACUAGAUAAGAGCAGUGGAAACUACAUAGCUAGAGUACGUUCGGGGCAGAGGGAAUUCCUGGUGUAGCGGUGAAAUGCGUAGAGAUCAGGAACGAACACCAGUGGCGAAGGCGCUCUGCUAGGCCUUANCUGACACUGAGGGACGAAAGCUAGGGGAGCG